GGUGGUUCUCGGGUGAUGCACCCCGGAAUUGGGCUCCCUCUUCUUUGAUUCCAUCACCCAAGAACUACA
This is a non-coding RNA of Myotis lucifugus (little brown bat), 69 nucleotides long. Lineage: Eukaryota; Metazoa; Chordata; Mammalia; Chiroptera; Vespertilionidae. The record is from Rfam.